Molecule: ribosomal RNA, 545 nt
Filed under: uncultured bacterium
Lineage: Bacteria
Description: bacterial SSU rRNA
Rfam family: Bacterial small subunit ribosomal RNA
Source: RNAcentral
UGGGGAAUCUUCCGCAAUGGACGAAAGUCUGACGGAGCAACGCCGCGUGAGUGAUGACGGCCUUCGGGUUGUAAAGCUCUGUUAAUCGGGACGAAUGGUUCUUGUGCAAAUAGUGCGAGGAUUUGACGGUACCGGAAUAGAAAGCCACGGCUAACUACGUGCCAGCAGCCGCGGUAAUACGUAGGUGGCAAGCGUUGUCCGGAAUUAUUGGGCGUAAAGCGCGCGCAGGCGGAUUGGUCAGUCUGUCUUAAAAGUUCGGGGCUUAACCCCGUGAUGGGAUGGAAACUGCCAAUCUAGAGUAUCGGAGAGGAAAGUGGAAUUCCUAGUGUAGCGGUGAAAUGCGUAGAUAUUAGGAAGAACACCAGUGGCGAAGGCGACUUUCUGGACGAAAACUGACGCUGAGGCGCGAAAGCCAGGGGAGCGAACGGGAUUAGAUACCCCGGCAGUCCUGGCCGUCUUUAUACUAGGUGUAGGAGGUAUCGACCCCUUCUGUGCCGGAGUUAACGCAAUAAGUACCCCGCCUGGGGAGUACGACCGCAAGGUUG